AUUGAACGCUAGCGGGAUGCUUUACACAUGCAAGUCGAACGGCAGCGCGGACUUCGGUCUGGCGGCGAGUGGCGAACGGGUGAGUAAUGUAUCGGAACGUGCCCAGUAGCGGGGGAUAACUACGCGAAAGCGUAGCUAAUACCGCAUACGCCCUACGUGGGAAAGCAGGGGAUCGUAAGACCUUGCACUAUUGGAGCGGCCGAUAUCGGAUUAGCUAGUUGGUGAGGUAACGGCUCACCAAGGCGACGAUCCGUAGCUGGUUUGAGAGGACGACCAGCCACACUGGGACUGAGACACGGCCCAGACUCCUACGGGAGGCAGCAGUGGGGAAUUUUGGACAAUGGGGGCAACCCUGAUCCAGCCAUCCCGCGUGUGCGAUGAAGGCCUUCGGGUUGUAAAGCACUUUUGGCAGGAAAGAAACGUCGCGGGCUAAUACCCCGUGGAACUGACGGUACCUGCAGAAUAAGCACCGGCUAACUACGUG
This 484-nucleotide ribosomal RNA is filed under the name uncultured bacterium. RNAcentral describes it as "partial 16S ribosomal RNA". It matches the Rfam family "Bacterial small subunit ribosomal RNA", at positions 30 to 507 of the family's 1533-position model. The record is from RNAcentral.